This 521-nucleotide ribosomal RNA is filed under the name uncultured bacterium. RNAcentral's name for it is "bacterial SSU rRNA". It matches the Rfam family "Bacterial small subunit ribosomal RNA", at positions 28 to 526 of the family's 1533-position model. The record is from RNAcentral.
AAUGAACGUUGGCGGCGUGGAUUAGGCAUGCAAGUCGAGCGGUAGGGAAUCCCUCACCUCACCCUCUCCCUCUGGGAGAGGGCCGGGGUGAGGGGUUCCUGAGAGCGGCGAAAGGGAGAGUAACGCGUAGUUACGUACCCCGAGGUCUGGAAUAGCCACGGGAAACUGUGGGUAAUGCCGGAUAAUAUCCUCGGAUCAAAGGUGUGAUUCCGCCUUGGGAGCGGACUGCGUUGUACUAGCUAGUUGGUAGGGUAAUGGCCUACCAAGGCAAUGAUGCAUAGCGGGCGUGAGAGCGUGGCCCGUCUCACUGGGACUGAGACACUGCCCAGACACCUACGGGUGGCUGCAGUCGAGAAUCUUCGGCAAUGAGCGCAAGCUUGACCGAGCGACGCCGCGUGCGGGAUGAAGGCCUUCGGGUUGUAAACCGCUGUCGUAGGGGAGGAAGGCUCCGUGAAGAGCGGGGUUUGACCUAUCCUAGGAGGAAGGACGGGCUAAGUUCGUGCCAGCAGCCGCGGUAAUAC